UGAGUAACCUGCCCCAAACUCUGGGAUAAGCACUGGAAACGGUGUCUAAUACCGGAUAUGACUCCUCAUCGCAUGGUGGGGGGUGGAAAGCUUUAUUGUGGUUUGGAUGGACUCGCGGCCUAUCAGCUUGCUGGUGAGGUAAUAGCUCACCAAGGCGAUGACGGGUAGCCGGCCUGGAGGAGGGUGACCGGCCACACGUGGGACUGAGACACGGCCCAGACCUCCGUACGGGAGCA
This 236-nucleotide ribosomal RNA is filed under the name uncultured bacterium. Its description in RNAcentral is "partial 16S ribosomal RNA". It matches the Rfam family "Bacterial small subunit ribosomal RNA", at positions 118 to 347 of the family's 1533-position model. The record is from RNAcentral.